Molecule: non-coding RNA, 472 nt
Organism: Monodelphis domestica (gray short-tailed opossum)
Lineage: Eukaryota; Metazoa; Chordata; Mammalia; Didelphimorphia; Didelphidae
Source: RefSeq, a predicted model, not a curated record
UAUGCCUCCAUCCCCAGGUGAGUAGGUUUCCUCUGUGAUGUCAUUCACAACAGAAAAGAAUCAUAUCCCAAACCAUCACCAUAGCAACUGACUAAGUGCCAUGGACUUUCUGUAAAUGUAUGUCCUCGAGGUUACCAUCACCAGCACAUGAGAGAGCAUCCGCCACAUGGCACUUAAUAAAUGCUUGUGGGUUGAAUGACUGAUUAAGAUGGAACUGCAAAGAAUCUUGCUGGACAGCCUUUGAUAAGUGCCAGGAAAUAGGCAGUGGAACCCUGUAGCAGACAGAAUAUGGCCAUGAACUGAAUAACCAUGGAGGUGGACACAUUGUAAGGAAGAAUGACUAAAGGAAUAGCAGCUUUUGUAAUAAAGAUACCUUUUACUCCACAAUAUCCCGUUGACCUCUAGGCUCAGUAUUUGAGCUCAUUCUUAAUGGCUUAGAUUUUGUGAGUAAUAACAUUUCAUAGGUAAUAGG